AAGAAUUUAAAGGUCGAACAGACCUAAAAUUUUAAAUGAUACUUCAAAAUUUUUUCUUAAUCCAACAUCGAGGUCGCAAACUAAUUUAUCGAUUUGAACUCUUCAAAUUAAUAACG
Molecule: ribosomal RNA, 116 nt
Filed under: Planopleura kaempferi
Lineage: Eukaryota; Metazoa; Arthropoda; Insecta; Hemiptera; Cicadidae
Description: partial 16S ribosomal RNA
Source: RNAcentral